UAGUCCACACCGUAAACGAUGACAGCUAGUUGUUGGCAGGCAUGCCUGUCGGUGACGCAGCUAACGCAUUAAGCUGUCCGCCUGGGGAGUACGGCCGCAAGGUUAAAACUCAAAGAAAUUGACGGGGGCCCGCACAAGCGGUGGAGCAUGUGGUUUAAUUCGAAACAACGCGCAGAACCUUACCCGCGUUUGACAUGCCCUGUAUGAUUUUCAGAGAUGAAUUUCUUCAUUUAGUUGGCAGGUGCACCAGGUGCUGCAUGGUUGUCGUCAGCUCGUGUCGUGAGAUGUUGGGUUAAGUCCCGCAACGAGCGCAACCCUCAUCCUUAGUUGCCAUCACGUUUGGGUGGGCACUCUAAGGAAACUGCCGGUGACAAGCCGGAGGAAGGUGGGGAUGACGUCAAGUCCUCAUGGCCCUUACACGCGGGGCUACACACGUGCUACAAUGGCAGUGACAAUGGGAUAAUCCCAAAAACUGUACUCAGUUCGGAUUGUCGUCUGCUAA
Molecule: ribosomal RNA, 502 nt
Filed under: uncultured bacterium
Lineage: Bacteria
Description: bacterial SSU rRNA
Rfam family: Bacterial small subunit ribosomal RNA
Source: RNAcentral